CCACCAUUUCAGUUUGGGCACUCUAAGGAGACUGCCGGUGUUAAACCGGAGGAAGGUGGGGAUGACGUCAAGUCCUCAUGGCCCUUAUAUCCAGGGCUACACACGUGCUACAAUGGCCGGUACAAAGGGUCGCAAUACCGCAAGGUGGAGCUAAUCCCAAAAAGCCGGUCUCAGUUCGGAUUGGAGUCUGCAACUCGACUCCAUGAAGUCAGAAUCGCUAGUAAUCGCGUAUCAGCAUGACCGCGGUCGAAUACGUUCCCGGGCCUU
Molecule: ribosomal RNA, 267 nt
Filed under: uncultured Geothermobacter sp.
Lineage: Bacteria; Pseudomonadati; Thermodesulfobacteriota; Desulfuromonadia; Desulfuromonadales; Geothermobacteraceae
Description: partial 16S ribosomal RNA
Rfam family: Bacterial small subunit ribosomal RNA
Source: RNAcentral